This 484-nucleotide ribosomal RNA is filed under the name uncultured bacterium. RNAcentral describes it as "partial 16S ribosomal RNA". It matches the Rfam family "Bacterial small subunit ribosomal RNA", at positions 30 to 507 of the family's 1533-position model. The record is from RNAcentral.
AUUGAACGCUGGCGGCAGGCCUAACACAUGCAAGUCGAGCGGAUGAAGGGAGCUUGCUCCUGGAUUCAGCGGCGGACGGGUGAGUAAUGCCUAGGAAUCUGCCUGGUAGUGGGGGAUAACGUCCGGAAACGGGCGCUAAUACCGCAUACGUCCUGAGGGAGAAAGUGGGGGAUCUUCGGACCUCACGCUAUCAGAUGAGCCUAGGUCGGAUUAGCUAGUUGGUGGGGUAAAGGCCUACCAAGGCGACGAUCCGUAACUGGUCUGAGAGGAUGAUCAGUCACACUGGAACUGAGACACGGUCCAGACUCCUACGGGAGGCAGCAGUGGGGAAUAUUGGACAAUAGGCGAAAGCCUGAUCCAGCCAUGCCGCGUGUGUGAAGAAGGUCUUCGGAGUGUAAAGCACUUUAAGUUGGGAGGAAGGGCAGUAAGUUAAUACCUUGCUGUUUUGACGUUACCAACAGAAUAAGCACCGGCUAACUUCGUG